GGCCUAGGUGAUCAUGAACUCUAUCGUAUCGUACCGGCGUGGUUAACUGGUCUAAUUAUCUGUACUCAUCCUGUGGGAUUUGGCUUGGAUGGUGCUGGUUAUCUUUGCUUGUGUGCUGUGUUGUUUAUUUUGGUCGCUAGAGUUUUAGCUGAUUGCAUGUCUUGUGUGCUUGAUUUUUGCGAGUUCUUUUUCUUUUUCUGAAUACGCG
RNAcentral lists this long non-coding RNA (208 nucleotides) under Manihot esculenta (cassava). Its description in RNAcentral is "long non-coding RNA (MESC_LNC002785)". The record is from RNAcentral. Lineage: Eukaryota; Viridiplantae; Streptophyta; Magnoliopsida; Malpighiales; Euphorbiaceae.